AGGAGCAGGAGGGUGUUAUGCUGUGAGAAGCAUCUUUUUUUUGCUAGUGCUUUCUAAUGGAAUAAAUGUGCGCCUCCUGCGGCUGACCUAAUAACAAAACAAUGUCCAAAGUGAAGGCCAGAAAAGACAAAUUACAGAAAUAAAGAAGGGUGACUCCAGUCUGGACAUACUGUUUCUAAAUAAGCCACAUUGUUCCUCUCUAUGGGUCAGCUCCACCAGACAGUUGUUUUUCUUUGUCAGAAUCACCUAUCACUUAUUACACUACUCAGCUGCAUCAGCAGCGCACCCAAAGCCUGGCACCUUUAGUAAUGUACCUAUAGCGCAUUAAAAUGAAACGAAGUGCCAGUAUCAGUAUCAUGCUGACCACAAAGGCAAGUUCCA
This is a long non-coding RNA of Pseudophryne corroboree (corroboree frog), 381 nucleotides long. RefSeq lists it as uncharacterized. NCBI's taxonomy places the organism in Eukaryota, Metazoa, Chordata, Amphibia, Anura, Myobatrachidae. The record is from RefSeq and is a predicted model, not a curated record. The transcript has 2 exons.